Molecule: ribosomal RNA, 465 nt
Filed under: uncultured bacterium
Lineage: Bacteria
Description: SSU rRNA
Rfam family: Bacterial small subunit ribosomal RNA
Source: RNAcentral
AGAAUCAACGCUGGCGGCGUGCCUAACACAUGCAAGUCGAACGAGAAAGUGGAGCAAUCCAUGAGUAAAGUGGCGACCGGGUGAGUAACACGUGACUAACCUACCUUCGAGUGGGGGAUAACCUCGGGAAACCGAGGCUAAUACCGCAUAACAUCGCAAGAUCAAAGCAGCAAUGCGCUGGAAGAGGGGGUCGCGGCUGAUUAGCUAGUUGGCGGGGUAACGGCCCACCAAGGCGAAGAUCGGUAGCCGGCCUGAGAGGGCGCACGGCCACACUGGAACUGAAACACGGUCCAGACUCCUACGGGAGGCAGCAGUGGGGAAUAUUGCGCAAUGGGCGGAAGCCUGACGCAGCGACGCCGCGUGCGGGAUGAAGGCCUUCGGGUUGUAAACCGCUUUCACCAGGGGCGAAGCGAGAGUGACGGUACCUGGGGAAGAAGCGCCGGCUAACUACGUGCCAGCAGCCGC